This 442-nucleotide ribosomal RNA is filed under the name uncultured bacterium. RNAcentral's name for it is "bacterial SSU rRNA". It matches the Rfam family "Bacterial small subunit ribosomal RNA", at positions 560 to 1008 of the family's 1533-position model. The record is from RNAcentral.
GUAAAGGGUGCGUAGGCGGCCUGUUAAGUAAGUGGUUAAAUUGUUGGGCUCAACCCAAUCCAGCCACUUAAACUGGCAGGCUAGAGUAUUGGAGAGGCAAGUGGAAUUCCAUGUGUAGCGGUAAAAUGCGUAGAUAUAUGGAGGAACACCAGUGGCGAAGGCGGCUUGCUAGCCAAAGACUGACGCUCAUGCACGAAAGCGUGGGGAGCAAAUAGGAUUAGAUACCCUAGUAGUCCACGCCGUAAACGAUGAAUACUAAGUAUUGGGGAAACUCAGUGCUGCAGCUAACGCAAUAAGUAUUCCGCCUGUGGAGUAUGCACGCAAGUGUGAAACAUAAAGGAAUUGACGGGGGCCCGCACAAGCGGUGGAGUAUGUGGUUUAAUUCGACGCAACGCGAAGAACCUUACCAGGCCUUGACAUCCCUUGCAAAGCUGUAGAGAUA